GACGUAGGGGCGAGCGUUGUCCGGAAUUACUGGGCGUAAAGAGCACGUAGGCGGGAACUUAAGUCAGGUGCGAAAGACCGUGGCUCAACCACGGGUAUGCAUUUGAAACUGGGUUUCUUGAGGGCAGGAGAGGAAAGCAGAAUUCCUGGUGUAGCGGUGAAAUGCGUAGAAAUCAGGAGGAAUACCAGUGGCGAAGGCGGCUUUCUGGACUGACCCUGACGCUGAGGUGCGAAAGCGUGGGUAGCAAACAGGAUUAGAUACCCCGGUAGUCCCUGAG
Molecule: ribosomal RNA, 277 nt
Filed under: uncultured prokaryote
Description: partial 16S ribosomal RNA
Rfam family: Bacterial small subunit ribosomal RNA
Source: RNAcentral